CGGGGUGAGUAACGCGUGGAUAACCUGCCUCACACUGGGGGAUAACAGUUAGAAAUGGCUGCUAAUACCGCAUAAGCGCACAGUACCGCAUGGUACGGUGUGAAAAACCCAGGUGGUGUGAGAUGGAUCCGCGUCUGAUUAGCCAGUUGGCGAGGUAACGGCCCACCAAAGCGACGAUCAGUAGCCGACCUGAGAGGGUGACCGGCCACAUUGGGACUGAGACACGGCCCAA
This 232-nucleotide ribosomal RNA is filed under the name uncultured bacterium. RNAcentral's name for it is "partial 16S ribosomal RNA". It matches the Rfam family "Bacterial small subunit ribosomal RNA", at positions 104 to 334 of the family's 1533-position model. The record is from RNAcentral.